CGGGGUGGAGUAAUGUCUGGGAAACUGCCUGAUGGAGGGGGGUAACUACUGGAAACGGUAGCUAAUACCGCAUAACGUCGCAAGACCAAAGAGGGGGACCUUCGGGCCUCUUGCCAUCGGAUGUGCCCAGAUGGGAUUAGCUAGUAGGUGGGGUAACGGCUCACCUAGGCGACGAUCCCUAGCUGGUCUGAGAGGAUGACCAGCCACACUGGAACUGAGACACGGUCCAG
RNAcentral lists this ribosomal RNA (230 nucleotides) under uncultured bacterium. RNAcentral describes it as "partial 16S ribosomal RNA". It matches the Rfam family "Bacterial small subunit ribosomal RNA", at positions 104 to 334 of the family's 1533-position model. The record is from RNAcentral.